This 428-nucleotide ribosomal RNA is filed under the name uncultured Verrucomicrobiales bacterium. RNAcentral's name for it is "bacterial SSU rRNA". It matches the Rfam family "Bacterial small subunit ribosomal RNA", at positions 353 to 772 of the family's 1533-position model. The record is from RNAcentral. Lineage: Bacteria; Pseudomonadati; Verrucomicrobiota; Verrucomicrobiia; Verrucomicrobiales.
AGUCGAGAAUCAUUCGCAAUGGGCGAAAGCCUGACGGUGCGACGCCGCGUGGAGGAUGACGGCCUUCGGGUUGUAAACUCCUGUCAUCAGAGAGUAAGGCUCUCGCGAGUAACUGCGCGGGAGAUUGAUAGUAUCUGAAGAGGAAGGGACGGCUAACUUCGUGCCAGCAGCCGCGGUAAUACGAAGGUCCCAAGCGUUGUUCGGAUUUACUGGGCGUAAAGCGUCUGUAGGCUGCGCGGUAAGUCAGAUGUGAAAGCCCGGGGCUCAACCCCGGAACUGCAUCCGAUACUGCCGUGCUUGAGGGUCGGAGGGGAGUCUGGAAUUCACGGUGUAGCAGUGAAAUGCGUAGAUAUCGUGAGGAACACUAGUGGCGAAGGCGAGACUCUGGACGACACCUGACGCUGAGAGACGAAGGCCAGGGUAGCGAA